GGACGAACGCUGGCGGCGCGCUUAAUACAUGCAAGUCGAACGAGAAGCCAGAGCUUGCUCUGGUGGAAAGUGGCGAACGGGUGAGUAACACGUGAGAAACCUGCCCCAAAGAUUGGGAUAAGCCUUGGAAACGAGGUCUAAUACCAAAUACCUUCUUUUUAACACAUGUUAAAAAGAGAAAUGCUCCGGCGCUUUGGGAUGGUCUCGCGAUCUAUCAGCUUGUUGGUGAGGUAACGGCUCACCAAGGCAUCGACGGAUAGCUGGUCUGAGAGGAUGUCCAGCCACAUUGGAACUGAGACACGGUCCAAACUCCUACGGGAGGCAGCAGUAGGGAAUCUUGCACAAUGGGGAAACCUUGAUGCAGCGACGCCGCGUGCGGGACGAAGGCCCUAGGGUUGUAAACCGCUUUCAGUAGGGACGAAAGUGACGGUACCUACAGAAGAAGCCCCGGCCAACUAUGUG
RNAcentral lists this ribosomal RNA (462 nucleotides) under uncultured bacterium. Its description in RNAcentral is "bacterial SSU rRNA". It matches the Rfam family "Bacterial small subunit ribosomal RNA", at positions 27 to 507 of the family's 1533-position model. The record is from RNAcentral.